CCUUGAUGAGUUUCCAUCCAUUUCUUCUUGUCCUGCAGCCCCUGAGAGUCUCAACAUCUUUUUUACAUUGUGGUGACCAAAACUGGAGGCAGAAGUCCAAGUGUGGCCUUACCACUCCUUAUUAGGAGUCCUGUGGGACACAGAAGAUCAACUGAAAUUGAGAAGGAGAGCUGAGUUCCAAAAGCUUCUCUGCCUCAGUCUAAAUGUGUGGAAAAAUGCCAUCCUGGAUUUGUCAAGCAGGCUCG
Crotalus tigris (Tiger rattlesnake) is the source of this 245-nucleotide long non-coding RNA. RefSeq lists it as uncharacterized. The transcript is spliced from 3 exons. The record is from RefSeq and is a predicted model, not a curated record. NCBI's taxonomy places the organism in Eukaryota, Metazoa, Chordata, Lepidosauria, Squamata, Viperidae.